GGGAAUGUAGCUCAGUGGUGGAGCACUUACCUGACAGGCAUGAGGCUCUGGGUUCCAUCCCUAGCACCA
RNAcentral lists this transfer RNA (69 nucleotides) under Ictidomys tridecemlineatus (thirteen-lined ground squirrel). Its description in RNAcentral is "Spermophilus tridecemlineatus (thirteen-lined ground squirrel) tRNA". It matches the Rfam family "tRNA". Rfam says of the family: Transfer RNA (tRNA) molecules are approximately 80 nucleotides in length. Their secondary structure includes four short double-helical elements and three loops (D, anti-codon, and T loops). The record is from Rfam by way of RNAcentral. Lineage: Eukaryota; Metazoa; Chordata; Mammalia; Rodentia; Sciuridae.